AGUGAACGCUGGCGGUAGGCCUAACACAUGCAAGUCGAACGGCAGCACAGUAAGAGCUUGCUCUUACGGGUGGCGAGUGGCGGACGGGUGAGGAAUACAUCGGAAUCUACUUUUUCGUGGGGGAUAACGUAGGGAAACUUACGCUAAUACCGCAUACGACCUACGGGUGAAAGCAGGGGAUCUUCGGGCCUUGCGCGAUUGAAUGAGCCGAUGUCGGAUUAGCUAGUUGGCGGGGUAAAGGCCCACCAAGGCGACGAUCCGUAGCUGGUCUGAGAGGAUGAUCAGCCACACUGGAACUGAGACACGGUCCAGACUCCUACGGGAGGCAGCAGUGGGGAAUAUUGGACAAUGGGCGCAAGCCUAAUCCAGCCAUACCGCGUGGGUGAAGAAGGCCUUCGGGUUGUAAAGCCCUUUUGUUGGGAAAGAAAAGCAGCAGGUUAAUACCCCGCUGUUCUGACGGUACCCAAAGAAUAAGCACCGGCUAACUUCGUG
This 492-nucleotide ribosomal RNA is filed under the name uncultured bacterium. Its description in RNAcentral is "partial 16S ribosomal RNA". It matches the Rfam family "Bacterial small subunit ribosomal RNA", at positions 29 to 507 of the family's 1533-position model. The record is from RNAcentral.